RNAcentral lists this long non-coding RNA (1315 nucleotides) under Notechis scutatus (mainland tiger snake). RNAcentral describes it as "lncRNA (ENSNSUG00000003020.1)". The record is from RNAcentral. Lineage: Eukaryota; Metazoa; Chordata; Lepidosauria; Squamata; Elapidae.
GUGGUCUUCUGCUCACAACAGUGGGGGCAGCAGGGCUCCCAGUCUGGGAGCCCUCCCAGCACCAUAACUGAAGAAGCCGUCGGUAGAAGCCACCACCAGAUAACUGCAUGAGCUUGACCUGGGAGGGGAAAGGCAGUGAAUUGAUAAACCAUUGUUGGUUCAAGACUUCCCAGUGGACUCAGCUGGUGUGGCAACCAAGCAGCGCAACCUGGAUUUUUUGGGUGCUUUCUCAGUUCCUGGAAUCAGCUCGGCUGCUCUUGAACUGAAACAGCCUGCCAGGGGCUUCCUCCCCUCGCUUAGGAAUUACCUAAACCUCCUGGGUAUAUGGGCCCCUGCAAGGCCAGCAGGCGCAAAGGGCCAGGUACCAGAGGCGGCAUCCAUUCUGUUUUUUUCUGGCUUGCGCUUGCCAGGGGUUGGAGAAUUGCAACCCAUAUCUUCCAAAAACAGACGUUGGCACCUAGGGGGAUGGGUUGGGAAGAAGAAUAGAGAUUAGCUCUCCGGGCUAGGUUGGUAGGAAAGAAGAGAUCGCUCUCAAAAACAUACGGGACAAUUAGUAAUUCCAUACCGGACAAGUUAAGCAACCUUUCUCCUGGUGCUCCCCCAAAGGUCUUAUGUCGGCCAUCUGAGGCACUUUUGAGCCCGUAGAAGUAUGGCCUGUUGCAGAGGCAGAACGCAACGCUUUGGUGAGCAAUCCUGUAAGUGUCUUGCCUUCCGAUAAUCGGAUGGGGGAAGCCUUUUGGUCAGGAAUUCAGUCUCGAGGCAAGCAGGGGAGGUCUUCUUAGCAGGAGUUUUCCCCCCCUCAAACUCGGGCUGCCCCACAGAGCUUGCUGAAUAGGAUAGAGGAGUCCCCUGGGAGCUCAUCCGAAGGCUCCUGGGUUCCUUGUUAGAGCAGCAUAGAGCAAAUGUCCGAGGUAACCAGAGAAGCAGCCUCUCUGGACAUCUGAUCUGAAAGCGAAGUUUGGUUCAGCCGCUUGCCUUUUGGAUCAAAGGGUGAAGUCUUAGUCUUUCGGGAAAGCCUGCCCUCUUUUUCGUUUCUUUUUUCUUUUUGUACAGACACAUGGCAGCCUUGUGGGCAUCUGCAUGCCCCUGCGUUUGGAGCUCUUUCUCCCACGGGAAGAGCCCAGCCAAGGACGAGACUCUUAAUUUUGAAUGAAGACUUUAAUUUUGAAACGAACGCAAUGUGUGACGGCUAUAUGUUGUUUUUUCCCCUGUGGGGUGGAAGUUGGCACCACUGGGGUUUUUCUGCCAGAAGCAAAGCCAAAAACAAAACAGCCUCUUUCAGGCUUGCCUGAUAACAGACACAGCAAACAAGGCA